This 71-nucleotide transfer RNA is filed under the name Marmota monax (woodchuck). RNAcentral's name for it is "tRNA.Undet". The record is from RNAcentral. Lineage: Eukaryota; Metazoa; Chordata; Mammalia; Rodentia; Sciuridae.
GGGGUUGUAGCUCAGUGGUUGAGUAUGUACCUCUGUGCACAAGGCCCUGGGUUUGAACACCAGCACUGCAA